GACGAACGCUGGCGGCGUGCUUAACACAUGCAAGUCGAACGGAAAGGCCCUGCUUUUGUGGGGUGCUCGAGUGGCGAACGGGUGAGUACACGUGAGUAACCUGCCCUUGACUUUGGGAUAACUUCAGGAAACUGGGGCUAAUACCGGAUAGGAGCUCCUGCUGCAUGGUGGGGGUUGGAAAGUUUCGGCGGUUGGGGAUGGACUCGCGGCUUAUCAGCUUGUUGGUGGGGUAGUGGCUUACCAAGGCUUUGACGGGUAGCCGGCCUGAGAGGGUGACCGGCCACAUUGGGACUGAGAUACGGCCCAGACUCCUACGGGAGGCAGCAGUGGGGAAUAUUGCACAAUGGGCGGUAGCCUGAUGCAGCAACGCCGCGUGCGGGAUGACGGCCUUCGGGUUGUAAACCGCUUUCGCCUGUGACGAAGCGUGAGUGACGGUAAUGGGUAAAGAAGCACCGGCUAACUACGUG
RNAcentral lists this ribosomal RNA (467 nucleotides) under uncultured bacterium. Its description in RNAcentral is "partial 16S ribosomal RNA". It matches the Rfam family "Bacterial small subunit ribosomal RNA", at positions 28 to 507 of the family's 1533-position model. The record is from RNAcentral.